AACUAUGUCAAAAAAUUAUCUCUUGCAGAGUAUAAAACGGUCAAAAUAUAUAUAAUGCUAGGGCACUAUAAUGUCAGAAUAAAUAAUAAUAUUGCAAAGUCAAAUUAAAAUAAAAUUCCCAAUGAAAUGUGAAGAAUACUGGCAGCAACAACGAUUCUGACAUUUGCACCAGUAAUGCAGUCGGUAGUCUGAAUUCGAACGGUACCUUAAUGCAGCUGCAGUUGCUAUCACUAUAGUCACGCUCGAUUUUGGGUUAGAUAAGGUUAGCGUAUCCUAAACUAUGACCAAUUUAGUAAUCACACUAAAUUGACGAAUUAAAAAAGCAAUAAUUCGGUCUGAAGUAUUUUAACCAAUUAACUCGCCACGAUAAUCAGUCAGUUUUCGCAUAGACAAGUGUUAACACUGAUGAAGACAUCUUUAUGAAGGAAAAGAUGCCACGACUUAUAUGGAAGCAACUCCUUAUUGUAUCAUUUCUAUUUAUCAUCGGUGAUUGCGCGCCACCGUCUCAAAAAUUAACUGAGAUCAAGAAAAAAACGCUUUCCUUGCUGGAUUUACUUUCGGUAAGAGAAGACCCGUGGGAGCAACUGAAGCCACGUACCGCCAUACAUGUUUUUAGGGCAUUAUUUUUCCCUGAAUCACUACAGCAAAGUACCGAAAAAUACCGCUCACCUCUAAAGUUAAAAAACAAUUUAAAAAUAAACUCAAAGCCACUGUCGAAUUUUUUGCAAAACUUGAAAAAUGUACAAAAGUUGUUAAAUACAAAUAAAAAAUCAAUAUACUUACAAAACCUAAGUCCUGCAGGAACAUAUCAAGGAAACAACUUGGAGACUGAACGAAAUGUGGCCUUUGAAAAGUUGCUAAAUACUAACCAUAAGAAUAAAAAAUCAAUAUACUUACAAAACCUAAGUCCUGUAGGAAAAUAUCAAGGAAACAACUUGGAAACUGAACGAAAUGUCGCCUUAGAAAAGUUGCUAAAUACCUACCAUAUGAAUGAAGAGAAAUAUACACCACACAACUUGGAAACUGAACGAAAUGUGACCUUAGAAAAGUCACUAAAUCACUACCCAAAGAAUAAUGAAUCAUUAUACUUAUAUAACCUAAGUCCUGUAGGAAAUAUUACAGCAAACAAAAUACAAAACAUUUUAAGUUUAUUAAAAAAGUCAAACCAAGAAAUAAUUUCAAAGGACCAAAAGAAAUAUUCAUUUCCAGUUCUGCCAGAAGUCAGAUCCAAAGAAAACACAUUACAUGAUACAUGGAAUAGAAUUCGAUCAAAGUUUCUGGAGAAAUUGUUUUCACUGCAUACUAUUGGCACAAAAGCCAUCGUCCGCGCAGGACGUUGUAGCACCAGAAGAAAAGAUAAGAAUGGAGCCAAUACCGAAUGCUGUAUAUAUCCCUGCUACUAUUAUCCAACAUAUUACUACCCGUAUUACUAUAAUACAACAUAUGGCUACCCGUAUUACUAUAAUACAACAUAUUACUAUCCGUAUUACUAUCCAUAUUACUAUCCAUAUUACUAUCCAUAUUACUGGGGACGUCGUUGAAUUAUGAAUUUUACAGUACAGUACACCAUAUCGGUGCUACUUUAUUCCUAUUUCCUACUAUUCGCGCUUGUAUCGUAAUGUACUUUUAUGAUUUAUGAAUUAUGAAUUUAUCAAAUA
Molecule: long non-coding RNA, 1658 nt
Organism: Cydia splendana
Lineage: Eukaryota; Metazoa; Arthropoda; Insecta; Lepidoptera; Tortricidae
Exons: 2
Source: RefSeq, a predicted model, not a curated record